CUUCAAAAUCCAGAAUUUCUUCCUCUGGUGGCUGAGAUUUGGUUUAGGCCGGUGUACACAAACAACCCCAUCGAUUCCUUGAACAUUAAACUGAAGAGGUUCAAGAAAUUCUUUAAAGGGUGGGGAUCUAAUUUGUUUGGUCACAACAAGAUUAGAAAGAAGCUUAUUAAACUUGAACUUCAGGAGCCGGAAAAGCUCGAAGAGGAAGUUGGCCUAUGUGGUGAGGCUUAUACUAGGAAACUAAAUAUCCUAGUAGAGCUCAAUGAUAUGUAUGUGGAAGAAGAACUUCAUUGGCAUCAACUAUCUAAUGAGAGGUGGUUAUUGAAAGGAGACAAUAACACUGAUUUUUUUCAUAAGGUUGCUAAUGGGCGUCGUAGGAAAAACUCUAUGAUCUCCCUUGAAUGUGGAUCUGUGGUUAUAGAUGGAACCAAAAACUUAUUAGCCCAUGCCACAGAAUACUAUAAGAACCUUUUUGGACCGGCCCCUGGAAAUAUUUGCCAAAUUGAUGCAACUCUAUGGUCUCAGGAGGAAAAAAUUACUCCUAAGGACAAUGAUGAUUUGACCCGACCUUUUUCCCUUGAGGAGAUCAAGAAGGCUCUGUUUAGCAUGAAAACUAAUCGG
RNAcentral lists this ribosomal RNA (621 nucleotides) under Triticum aestivum (bread wheat). RNAcentral's name for it is "partial small subunit ribosomal RNA". The record is from RNAcentral. Lineage: Eukaryota; Viridiplantae; Streptophyta; Magnoliopsida; Poales; Poaceae.